This 253-nucleotide ribosomal RNA is filed under the name uncultured bacterium. Its description in RNAcentral is "partial 16S ribosomal RNA". It matches the Rfam family "Bacterial small subunit ribosomal RNA", at positions 524 to 776 of the family's 1533-position model. The record is from RNAcentral.
UACGUAGGUGGCGAGCGUUGUCCGGAUUUACUGGGCGUAAAGAGCGCGCAGGCGGUCGUACAAGUCGCGUGUGAAAGCCCCUGGCUCAACUGGGGAGGGUCACGCGAUACUGUUCGACUUGAAGGCAGGAGAGGGAAGUGGAAUUCCCGGUGUAGUGGUGAAAUGCGUAGAUAUUCGCAAGAACACCAGUGGCGAAGGCGGCUCACUGGCCCGAUACUGACGCUGAGGCACGAAAGCGUGGGGAGCAAACAGG